CUCUUCUCCAGUCACUGGUGGUGGGAAGGGAGGGGAGGGGAGUGAGGGCACGGGGGCGGAGACGGACGGACCCAAUGGGAUGGUGGGGAGGAGGGUGGGUAUCGGCUCCGGUCUCCUCUCUCUCUUCGGUCCCGAACCGACCAUCUACGCGCUCAUCUCCACAGACGGUUUCCGGUUCCCCUUACCCUCCGCUGCCGUCCGGGUCGCUGCCGCCGCCGCCGCCGCCGCGGCCGCGGCCGCGGCCGGUGGGCGUGGUCAAGGUCAUGGUUCGGGAGGAGCGGCGGCACGUGUGCGUCUUGGGGUUGGUGUCGGUGUUGGAGGGGAAAGGGGAAGGAGGGGAGUUACCUGGACCUGGACUACGUAGAUGUGUGUUACGACAAGCGGUCGGAGGCUGCGGUUCCCCCAAACGACUAACCUCACGCAGAUGGUCACGGAAGUGCAGGGAACGACACGUCUCGUGAGGAAGGUGUCGAUGACGGUUACGUAUGGUAAUGUCGGAUAGAGGAACGAUACGAAAGACCUGGGUAAUGUACGAAUUGUUCUUACGUAUAUCGAUGAUAGGACGUGGAUUAGUCCUCGUGUGGGUGGGAAAGUCGGAACUAUUGUUGGUCCGAUUUCUAGGUCCAAGAUAUGGGUCGAAGCCCUAGCUCAGUAAAUUAUGUUGUAGGGACCGUGGUUUGUACAGACGAGUAUACGGAGGGUACCUUCCUGGGGAUGGAUGUUUCCUUGGACUCCGAGGUCUCCUGUACGGACGAUCUCAUCGAUGUUAAUUCCUGCUUUACCUACGGUCUUUACCACAACUUGAAUUUACACUUUGUCAACUGCGAGAAGGUCUCAACUUCGUUCCAGUACUUUCAACACGGUCAUUUAAGUUGAGACCUCUUAUGGUUCAAUAAAACGCGUUCCUUAACUGUUUCUCACUACAACGCUUACAUCCUUCUUAACACAAUGGGUUCUUCCUACGUCUUCGAUCAGAAGGUGGUAACACGCUUUCCCUAGGACACUAUGACGUCUACCUACUGUACCACGAAGGCUAAUGCACCUUUAAAUUCAUGUCCAAGACCGGUUUGUUGUUUUCGUCUUACAUGUAGGACCUAAGAUGUUCACUUAAACACUUCUGUGUACCAGAAGUCCGUCCCCUGCGUGAGUAAUAGAUGUUUUUAGGACACGGACCGUUUAUAUAACAGGCUCCCCUCUUCCGGUAAGUCGUCUGUUUAAUCUCGUACACCUACACUAACGCUGGCACAGUCACUCCUGUAAAGUUCCCUCCUUACACCCAAGCGUUAGGUUCCCUUGAGCUGUCUCAACUCGACCGACCCCUUAAGUACUGUCAGACUGAACAAUUGACCCCUCACUUGCCUUUUUCUAACCUGCACGCACGACAGUUUCUCGAACGAAGAUGUCACGCUGUAGGUUUUAUCGUAAACGCCAAGACAUUUAUAAGAGCCUAGGUAUUCUAUUUACUUCACCGCACCUGAAACCUGCACGAUACUACAAAGAGACAGUGUCUUCUUAGUC
RNAcentral lists this ribosomal RNA (1518 nucleotides) under Triticum aestivum (bread wheat). RNAcentral's name for it is "partial small subunit ribosomal RNA". Lineage: Eukaryota; Viridiplantae; Streptophyta; Magnoliopsida; Poales; Poaceae. The record is from RNAcentral.